GCGUUGUUCGGAAUUACUGGGCGUAAAGGGUUCGUAGGUGGCUUGUUAAGUCAGACGUGAAAUCCCUCGGCUCAACCGGGGAACUGCGUCUGAGACUGAUGAGCUCGAGUGCAGGAGAGGAACGCGGAAUUCCAGGUGUAGCGGUGAAAUGCGUAGAUAUCUGGAGGAACACCGGUGGCGAAGGCGGCGUUCUGGACUGCAACUGACACUGAGGAACGAAAGCCAGGGGAGCAAACGGG
This 239-nucleotide ribosomal RNA is filed under the name uncultured bacterium. RNAcentral's name for it is "partial 16S ribosomal RNA". It matches the Rfam family "Bacterial small subunit ribosomal RNA", at positions 538 to 776 of the family's 1533-position model. The record is from RNAcentral.